AACGAACGCUGGCGGCAGGCUUAACACAUGCAAGUCGAACGAGAUCUUCGGAUCUAGUGGCAGACGGGUGAGGAACACGUGGGAACAUUCCUUUCAGUUCGGAAUAACGUUGGGAAACUAACGCUAAUACCGGAUACGUCCUUCGGGAGAAAGAUUUAUCGCUGAAAGAUUGGCCCGCGUCUGAUUAGCUAGUUGGUGAGGUAACGGCUCACCAAGGCUACGAUCAGUAGCUGAUCUGAGAGGAUGAUCAGCCACAUUGGGACUGAGACACGGCCCAAACUCCUACGGGAGGCAGCAGUGGGGAAUAUUGGACAAUGGGCGCAAGCCUGAUCCAGCCAUGCCGCGUGAGUGAUGAAGGCCUUCGGGUUGUAAAGCUCUUUUGUCCGGGAAGAUAAUGACUGUACCGGAAGAAUAAGCCCCGGCAAACUUCGUGCCAGCAGCCGCCGUAA
RNAcentral lists this ribosomal RNA (449 nucleotides) under uncultured bacterium. RNAcentral's name for it is "partial 16S ribosomal RNA". It matches the Rfam family "Bacterial small subunit ribosomal RNA", at positions 29 to 523 of the family's 1533-position model. The record is from RNAcentral.